Long non-coding RNA from Leopardus geoffroyi (Geoffroy's cat), 3857 nucleotides. RefSeq lists it as uncharacterized. The transcript has 4 exons. Lineage: Eukaryota; Metazoa; Chordata; Mammalia; Carnivora; Felidae. The record is from RefSeq and is a predicted model, not a curated record.
GGUGUGUGUGUGUGUGUGGGUGUGUGUGGGUGUGGGUGUGGGUGUGGGUAUGUUUGUUUGUGUGUGUGGCUUUUCAGAGGGCACAGUUUUUCUCCGAGUUGAACUACUCACCGACUGACUGCCCCGAGGGGCUGAAGAUGCUGCCCCAGUCGGUGGCGAGGUUCGGCGCAACAGCUCGCUUGUAGCCAGAGUCUGGCACUGGACGCGCGCCGUGACUGUGCAACUGUCUUCACGAGAAUCACGUGUGCCCGCUAGGAUUACCCUUCCUGUGUGUGUGCCCUGACCAGCCCGACACUGCCUCAGCCUGGAAGACGUUCAGGUCAGGUUCUGCUUCUCGACCGGUGUGUGCUGUGCCUGAAUUUGUGCGUCAGGCCAGCUAAAAAGAAGGCGUGAAAUGAAGUGUGUCCCUUGGACAAGAGAAAAGAUGGAACCACCAGUCCAGCCACCACCACAACCCCCAAACCCGAACCUCAGCCAGAGGCGUGGACUAGAGUCCCAGGGUCCUGGCAUACUUGCUCCAUGCUGACAUGUCCCUAACACAGGGCACGGUGUGACUGUCUCUUCUGCAGCCUGGCUGUUGAGGAGCUCAGCUGUGCUGGUAUAUACAGUUUUAUUACCCAAACACUCAGGUAAGUGUCAAAGCCCACUGUCUGUAGACAAGGAAACAAACGGAAAGGUUUAGGUCGCUGGUGCAGGAAAGGGUGGAUCUGGGCAUCACACCUCCGUUUCGCCUGACUCCAAAGCCCGACUUUGCACUCACAGUGAUAUUCCUGGAUUGUGUUUCAGCUGCUGAAAUGCAUAUAUUGUUCCAGUAUUGUAUAGUCAUCAUGGUCCCAACACCUGUCCACCUUGAAAUGGAGGUACUCAGCAACCUUGAAAGGUUCUAAGAUUUUGUGUCUGUCCUCUGAUGAGCUGCCCUGAAGCCAACAGACCUGGAGUCCCUUGGCAUGGAAGGCUUGCCUCAGAACCAACAGCCAAGCAGGACUUCAAUGUCCAGGGCUCCCCCCAUGGAGUGGUACUUUGCCAUGUUAGAGAGCCUUUGCAAGCAACCCCACCACCCAAAUUAGGUCUCUACCUGUCUCACUGGUGACCAGGUAUUACGAAUUGAGAGGCAAGCAGAGGAAGUGCUUUUAGUAGCUGCAUCACAGCCGUAGCACUGACCAGACCCCACUGGUGAUUUGAAGCCCAGUAGCCCAAGGACUGCAGUCCGACUCUAACUAGGUGUCUCUCUCUGUUCUUCGGCGUGCACGUCUGUACACUGUGGGUGAGCAAAGUGCCUGUGUCAUCAGCCUCCCCAGCCUUGAGAGGUGUGUCCUGACCAAACACACACACACACACACACACACACACACUUAAGUAGGGGUAAGAGGCCCUGCUCUGUGUCCCUAAGGUACUGUGAUUUCAAUUCUGCCACCGCUCUUCUCACACAGUGUGCAGUGGUCAUCUGCUUGCAGACUACACCCUGUGUGAUCCCUGUGUCCCCACUGAGUCCAGUGAACUGACACAUGAAUUCGGGUGGUGCUUAGAACAUGUUUCUUCAGCGAAGGAGGGACCUUCACCCAGGGUCCUUCAUCCCAAAGGGCAGCUCAUGUACCGGUUAUGACACAGGAGGAUGGAGUAAACAGGACAUCUCUGUACUCAGAUUCUCUGUGAGGAGGAGGAAGAUUGGAUUUUUUGUACCAUCUCUAAUUCCAGAAACUUAAAGAGGCUAUAAAGGGAUUUUCAAUGUGUGGGUCACUGUUGCCCCGUCGGCCACAGUUCUGGUCUCACAGUGGAACUUGGGUCAAGAUCCUUGGAGCUCCAGGCAACUCAGAGAAUGUUUUCCAAGUCCCGAGCGACUGGUGCACAGAGUAGGUGCCCACAGUGAUCUGUCCAGUAGGUGGAUUGUUGAGUGAAUUAAGGCUGCUAGUUAAAUAUGGGAUGCUCUGGCAAGAGCACAAAUCCCCUUGGGGGACGGGACAUGAGCACAUGGGUGAAGGCUGUGUCAAUCCAGGUGACUGCUGUCAGCCUCACAAGAAGGCGCUCCUCCUCACUGUCCUUCCAGCUCUUUGUCCAAACCUGCCUCUUCUCUAAGUGGUCCUCUCCAUGUCCCUUCUCUGCCUAACUUACAGCCCGAUACAGGCUGUCAUUCGGCAUCUGUGAUCCUUGGGUGUCCUUUGCAGUCCAGCUGACUGAACAGAAGCUGACUCAGCACAGCAGGAUCUAGUGCCUGUCACCCGUUGUUCUCCCCUGCUUUCUGUUAGGCUCUCACUCCCUUCCCCUACCCCCCAGCUGCUCCAGCCUUCUGGCAGUAUCUGCACUGUUUCUGGAAGCCUCUGCCUCAGACACUUCUUCCCAACUGUUCCCUCUUGACAGGAAAGUCCUGACCCCAGAAAUGUGCUUGUCAGAUUCCUCUCCCUGUUCACAAUGUUUGUUGAAAGGUCACCUCUUCGUGAACCCUGAAUUCAUACCCUUGGGGAUACUUUCUAGGUUCUGCUUUUGGGGCUGACAGAUCACCUGGAGAGGCAUUGCCAGCAAACGUGCGGGCGCCUGGGUCUAAGAGCCAAAGAGUUUGUCUAGAACCAAAGAGAAGAACCUGGAGAAUGUCCUAAUAUUCUGACUAAAAGGCAGAGGGGCACCCAAGAAAACGGGAGGUCAAAUUAUCACCGAAGGCAGGCCAGCCCCUGAGCAGCUCCUCAAAUGAGUGGAAUUGUGUUCAUGCAUCACUUGUAGCCUGAACCAUGGGCCCUGAAUGCUGAGGGAAGAUCCCUGCUCUCCAGUAGCCAUAGUCUGACCAGAAACUCAGAGGAUAAGGCCCUGCCUGCAAUAGCUGAGUGCCUGUUGUCUUUGGGGCCACUAUGUCCAGACCUGGCCAUGCAGCUUCUGUUGUUCUAAGAUGGGGAUGGCAGUACCUGCCUUCCUUGCUUCCAGGGCUCUUCUGACAAACACAGGACGGAAAGCGCGCGCGCACACACACACACACACACACACACACACACACACACACACAGAUCAGAGAACUGGAAAGAACCUAGGUCCUUGACAGCGUCACCAGACCCCGGAAUAUGCCCCGCCUGCACCCACCCUUACUUCUGAUUUCAUUGUGUGAUUGUGAAUUGCCUUUGUGAUUAGACCUGUUUGAGGAGGGGUUUCCUCUUUACUCACAGCACAAAGCAGACUUCUGGAUAUGGGGAGCAUCGUGGGGUUUGGUUUUCUUUUCUGUGGGAGCCAUGUCGUGUCGUGGGUAAGGGCACAAGCUCUAUUCCUAAACAACCUUCCUUCCAACUCAGUUCUGCCACUUGCAGUCCUGUCAUUUUGAGAAAUGUACCUGGCCCUGUGCCUUACUAUCCUCACCUGUGAAAUGGGCUUAUUAUUCUUAAUAGUGACAAUACCAAGCAGAGAGGGUUGCAUUUGUGAAUACAUAAUGAGGUAAUGCAAGUAUGGUUCACAGAAUUGCAUCUGCCACAUUCCCUAUCUUUACACCUACUGAUGCUGCCAUGGGCAGGUCAGGCUUUACACCACGUGAGCUAGAGCAAAGAACAUAAAGAUCACAUUACACGUCUGUGUUCAGCCCUAGAAACUCUCCUCCUCUGCCAUACAUUCUCAUCCUUUGCGUCAUGCACGGACGAUCCGUCACCAGGGGGCUGACUCUCCCACCUGGGGACCACAAAUACACACCGUCUUACACUGUGUGCAUCAAUUCAGUACACUCCAGUUAUGUCCUCAGAUAGCCUGCCCUGGUCCUGGUGCCGGGGUGGGGGUGGGGGGUACCCCAGAGCAGGUAACGGAGCACAUGAUGUUCCCUUACACCCACACGGCAUCGGAAGCUGUCCGCAUCCUAGUGCCUGCCUUUCUUUCCAGACUCGCCUCCCUCCGCC